GAUGAACGCUGGCGGUCUGCUUAACACAUGCAAGUCGAACGGAAUCCUUCGGGAUUUAGUGGCGGACGGGUGAGUAACGCGUGAGAAUCUGCCUUCAGGUUCGGGACGACAGCUGGAAACGGCUGCUAAUACCGGCUGUGCCGAGAGGUGAAAGCUUUAGUGCCUGAAGAUGAGCUCGCGUCUGAUUAGCUAGUAGGAGUGGUAAUGGCACCCCUAGGCGACGAUCAGUAGCUGGUCUGAGGGGAUGAUCAGCCACACUGGGACUGAGACACGGCCCAGACUCCUACGGGAGGCAGCAGUGGGGAAUUUUCCGCAAUGGGCGCAAGCCUGACGGAGCAAGACCGCGUGAGGGAAGAAGGUCUGUGGAUUGUAAACCUCUUUUGAUGGGGAAGAAGACAGUGACGGUACCCAUCGAAUCAGCCUCGGCUAACUCCGUGCCAGCCGCCGCAGUAA
This 453-nucleotide ribosomal RNA is filed under the name uncultured bacterium. Its description in RNAcentral is "partial 16S ribosomal RNA". It matches the Rfam family "Bacterial small subunit ribosomal RNA", at positions 28 to 523 of the family's 1533-position model. The record is from RNAcentral.